Non-coding RNA from Pelobates cultripes (western spadefoot toad), 6472 nucleotides. The record is from the annotation of a GenBank genome assembly. Lineage: Eukaryota; Metazoa; Chordata; Amphibia; Anura; Pelobatidae.
CCUUGAUUUAAUAUUUUAAGUAAGCUUUAAAUAAAACAGCCACUUAUCCAUCGUUCCUAGUUAUGUUGAUUUUAACACCAUGAAUACCAGAGUUAUUGAACAUCUACAUUGAUCAGCCACAACAUUUAAACUACCUGCCUAAUAUUGUGUUGGUCCCCAUAGUGCUGCCAGAACAGCUCUGAUGCGUUGACCUCUAAAUAUGUCCUGUAGUAUCCAGCGCCAAUAUUUUAGAAGCAGAUCCUUUAGGUCAUGCAAGUUGCGAGGUGGGACCUCCAUGGAUUGGAUUUGUUGUUUAACACCUUAAACUCUUUAUCAUGUUCUUCAAACCAUUCCUGAACAAUUUUUGCAGUGUGGCACAAUACAUUAUCCUGCUGAAACAGAGUGGCAUGGUGCAUUAUCCUGCCAUCAGGGAACACCGUUGCCAUGAAGGGGUGCGUGGUCUGCAACAAGCUCUAGGUAGGUGUCAAAGUAACAGUCACAUGACCAGGACCAGUUCCGAUGCUCACAACUUCAUUGAAGGCGCUUUCGGCAGUGAAAAGGAGUCAACGUGGGCACUCUGUCCUGGGGAGUAUACCCAAACUAGCAGGAUAUGGGAAACAAAACAGGAGAGAUAGAAAUAUAUUACCAGGCCUUAGAGUGGACGGAUGUAAAUAAGCAGAAAGAGACUAAAUCAGACACUAGCCAAUUUCAGGUUACAAAUACCAGAAAUGCGAUAAGUCGGGUCAGGAUUCCAGAGAUACAAACAGAAUUCAGGAACACACUAAUAGGAUACCAAAGUAGAAACCACGAUAGGGCACUGAAUAAGGGCCUAGAAUGGCUAUAUGUAGUGUUACUAUUGUUCUGAUUUGUUCGCGUCAGCUCUGCGACUCCAUAAUGUAUGAAAAGGAGGUCGCCUAGGCGAUGUGGAUGCUUCUGAAUCGCAAACGUUCUGCAUAUAAGGACGCGCCAUUCCAGCAUUCAUGCUUCCCUCUGCCUCCCUUGGUCUUUCAUUAUUCCAGUAAUCAUUCCCAGGACUUCAUUUUCUGGGCAGGCCGCUCUGUUCUGUACCUUGUGACCCUCUCCCAGGACAGAUUCCCCAGCCUGGUGUUUUGACACUUUUAAUUUAAUAAUUUUGUUAUGAAGUCAAAUCUGUUGGUUUUUUAUAUAUAUAUAUAUAUAUAUAUAUAUAUUUUUUUUUUUUUAUUAUUAUUAUUAUUUUUUCCCCACACAUGGUUUUAUUUUGUGUAAAUUCACAGACCACCUGUUUUGUCCCACUAGUGGAAAGAUCUGAUAUUUCUAGUCUACUACUGCUCGAGUACAACGAUACCCCACAUGUAUACCUUUGUCCCUAAUCCCACCAAUAAUCUUACUCCUAAUCCAGUCCUUAUCCCUAUUUCAGAGGAGAUUUCUGAAACAAAUAUGUAUACCUGACACUAUAGGUUGUCUUGUAGACUUAACCCUGCAAGGUAAUUAUUGCAGUUUCUCAAUAACUGCAAUAAUUACCAUUGCAGGGUUAAACUGACAGGUACAGUGCACCUAGACCAGUUCAAUGAGCUGUUGUGGUUUGGUGCCUAUAGUGCCCCUGUGAAGCUGUACUAUUUCUGGUGACCAUGGUGUCCCUUUAAGAUUUUCUUCCAACGUGUGUAUGUGUGCAUUAUGCUGAUGUAAUGCAUUAUAGUGUUGGUAGAACUAUUUUUUUCAGGGCAAUGUUUUAUUUCCAGGCUGGCUAUGGCUCCAUCAGAUUCCAUACACCCUAAAAGAUAGUCCUGAGUCCUGUUAUGGAUUAUCAGCAUCAGAAUUAGUAUCAGACUUCUUUAAAGGUUCACUCCAACCCUUAUAAAAUUAUAUAUUCUUUAUCCCCCCUUCUUAAACCCUGUGAAAAGUUUUAUUUACCUGGAAUCCAGCGACGGCCAAAGCUCCUGAUGCUGUUUUCCAUGCCCCAUUCUGACGUCACCCCGGCACUUACAGAGAAACCUUUCAUUGGACCGCAUGUACUUUGAUCCAGUGAGGGAGGGAGAAGAGUAGGGAUGCUGGGAGGGCUAUUAAAACAAAAAAAGCCUAUUCAAUUAGUUGAAGGGAAUGGAGACAGGAGCACCCAGUGGGAGGGAGGGUAAAGCUUUCUUCCCUCCAGACACUCUGUCUGCAAAAGGUAAUAUUUUUUACAUCUGAUGUCAGUGCCCUGUCCUGUGCUGGAAGUGCUAACUGAAACACUGAAACACUGCAAGCUGAAACACUGCACAUGCAGACUCCUACCACCAGGAUCACUUCAAAUCACUGAAAUGGUCAUGGUUGUUGAAGCAACCAUUUAAAGUGGUUGUUGUUUUUGAGAAUACAUCUAUUGGCUUAUGGCAGGGCUUGACAACUUUCCACAGAAUAUAGGAGCCAGAAGAAUAAACUGUGAGCCAGCUUUUCUUUUUAACCGUAACACUUUGGGCACUAUAACAUCUUAUCGAAAUUCAAUUGUUAUGGUUCCAUGAGGUGGCCAGGUGCUUUCUUACCUGAAUGGAUUAAACCAUUCUCAAGUGGCUUAACCCCAAAGAUUGCCUCCAGUGCUGGAUCUCCUGUUCCCCGAACGGUAUUCAACUUCUGAUAUUGCUGCUGAUUGGUGGUAUGUACCUUUUUAUAUUUUUUAUGAAACGGUAGCUACUGAUUAGUUUAGAGCUCUAGUUAAAUCGUACUAGUCACAGGUUGCUUGAUGUUGGAUCUCCAGUUCCCCCAGCGGCAUUUGUCUUGGCUAGUGCCGUUAGCUGGCGCUCUGAGCUAAUCAGUGGCUCCGAAAUAAAAAAAAUUAAAAAACAUUGUUAUGGUGCCCAGAUUGUUCCUUUAUUUAUUUUUUAACAAAAUAUAGAAAUACUAUAUACAUGGAUACUAUAUACAUACCUGAGGUAGCUUUUGGGGUUAAGCCGUUCAAGAACAGUUCAACCCUUCAGGUAAGAAAGCACCUGGUAACCUCCUAGCAGCAGAACAACUACAUUUUAAAGUUGUUAUGGUUCCUUUAUUUUUUUCUUAACAAAAUAUAGAAAUACUAUAUACAUUUAGGAAAUGUGUAAAGGUUUUAGCAGGUGGAAAAUAGGAAUGUUUUUAAAAAAAAAUCUGUUACUAGUUUACAGGUUUAUUCAUUAAAGCAGCGGUUCCCAAACUAUGUGCCGCGGCGCUCCACGGUACACAGGGGUGUUGUGAAAAGUUUCCCUGGUGCUAUGAUCAUAUGAUCAUAGCACCAGGAAAAUUGUGCUGUGCCUCGCUCUCCCCUGCCGGCUCUGUAGGACCGGAAGGGAGAGCGAUCAAAGAUCUCCCUCACAGGCCCGAUAGCACUGUAAUGCUGCAAUCGGCAAUGCUCCGAAUCUCACAAAAGUGAACUCUAGCCUCAGGAGCUGAUAGAGUUCACUCUCACCACUUGGACCACCAGGGCUUCUCCACCAGAACACCACGGAUUGCCUUGUCCUGUAUAUAAAAACAAUUUUUUUUAUUUAAAAAAAAAAAAGUUUAUAUUUAUUAAUCCUCCUACUCCCACAGACCCACAAUAACGUCCCCCAUACACACUCACACACACUGCCCCCCAUACACUCAUACUGCCUCCCAUUUACACACACUGCCACCCCUCACACAUACACUGUACCACUCAUGCACACCCUGCCCCCUCUCACACACACUGUACUUCUCACGCACACACUGUAGCCCUCACACACACACACACACAACAUCCUUCACAAACACAAUGCACCCUCGUAGACACACUGCACUCUACAUACAUUGCACCCCUCACACACACACACACACUAGUGCCCUAUCCCCUACUACAGUCCCCUAUUCCGGCACACUCCAGGUAAGUUGUCGAACUGUUCUUAAACAGUUAGACUACUUACCCUGGGAGGGCACCAUGGCACUCCUGGCACCAUAACCACUACAGGGUGCUGUAGUGAUUAUUGUGUCUGGAUUGUUUCUUUAAAUAAUCUACCAGUGCCCCUCCCAAGAUUAGGUUCUAGAUUCUCCUCUGACAGGGAAACAUUUCUGCUGAACAGUGGCCCAGUGUAUGCCGCAGCGCUGUACAUGUAUACAACCUAGAAAUUUGUUUUGACUUGGGGUGCCUUGGAAAAGUAUUGAAAUAUUAAGGGCGCCUUGAACCUAAAAAGUUUAGGAACCACUGCAUUAAAACUAAUUUCAAAAUGAAUGCCAUUAUAGCCAAACUAGUCACCUAUGAUUCCAGCUACUAUGAGAUUCAGUUUAAAAUUCAUGUUUAAUUCUCACUUUAGUGAAUAACCCUGUUAUAUGUAUCAAUUAACAAAUUGCAAUGUUAGUGAAGAGAAGAAAAAUCAAGAGCAUCAAUUAAUUGUAUUAAAGGACCACUAUAGGCACCCAGACCACUUCAGCUCAAUUAAGUGGUCUGGGUGCCAGGUUCCCCUAGCUUUAACCCUGCAGCUGAAAACAUAAAACUGCUAUAUUUACACAGCAGGGUUAAUCCAACCUCUAGUGGCUGUCUCCGUGACAGCCACAAGAGGCAUUUUCGCGAUUUACACGGAGUAAAUCGCACUAUUUGAUGCUGGACGUCCUCAUGGACCUCCAGCUUAAAAAAAAAAAAAAAUCCCCAUAGGAAAGCAAUGAUUAAUGCUUUCCUAUGGGCAGGUUUGAACGCGCGCGUACCUCUGGCUGCGCAUGCGCAUUCGGCUCCACUCUGGAGCUGACGUCUGCGGGGAGAAGAGUUCACCAGCGCUAAGGGAGCCCGGCGCUGGAUUUAGGUAAGUGGCUAAAUGGGUUUUAACCCCUUCAGUGCCGAGGGAGGGCGGCACUCCAAGAGCCUAUAGUGCCAGGAAAACGGGUUUGUUUUCCUGGCACUAUAGGAUCCCUUUAAAAUCAGGAAUUUUGUAGGCAUAUAGUCAGGUGCAUGAUUAAACAAUUAUACCAAAAAGGAGCUAACAGUCAUCAGUUUAAAGGAAUACUGCGCUCCCAAAAAACUGUGUUUUAUUAAGACACUGUUUUUUGGUUAGAGUAACCCUUGCUGGCAUACUCUCCUGGUGCUCCUCCUACCUCUCCCAGCGCUCUUUCAGUGUUUCUUUCUCUGACUCCGCCUCUUCCCAUCAACCACUCUCUGCCAGCAUCCCCCAAGGUUCAGUCCUUGGUCCCCUACUGUUCUCUAUCUAUACUGCCUCCCUUGGGAAACUCAUCAGCUCCUUUGGCUUCCGUUAUCAUUUCUAUGCGGAUGACACGCAAAUCUACCUGUCCUCUCCUGAUCUCUUUCAAUCCAUCUUGACUCGUGUCUCUGACUGCCUCUCUUCGAUCUCCAACUGGAUGGCUGCUCACUUCCUUAAACUCAACCUGUCCAAAACAGAACUUCUGGUCUUUCCUCCCUCAAGUGUUACUACUCCUGUGUCUGUCUCCCUUCAAGUCAACGGCGCUACCAUCACCUCUACCUCACAGGCUCGCUGCCUGGGUGUUCUUUUUGACUCCAACCUCUCCUUCACCCCUCAUAUCCAAUCAAUCACCAAAUCCUGCAGCUUCCAUCUCAAAAACAUCUCAAAAGCGCACGUUCGCCCCUAUUUAACCCCAGAUGCGGCUAAGGUUCUGGUCCAUGCUCUUGUUCUCUCUCGCCUUGACUUCUGCAAUACCCUUCUCAAUGGUCUUACAUGUUCCCAGAUUGCACCGCUGCAAUUUAUAAUAAAUGCGGCGGUGAGGCUCAUUUUCCUGUCCGCUCGCACCUCCCACGCCUCCCCGCUCUGUCAGUCCCUGCACUGACUUCCAGUUAAAUAUAGGGUUCAAUUUAAAAUUCUGGUGCUUGCUUACAAGUCCCUACAUAAUGCUGCUCCAACCUACCUAUCCUCCCUAAUACACAAGUAUGUCCCGUCGAGGCCCCUACGCUCUGCCAAAGACCUAUGUCUAUCCUCUGUCCGUACUCCCACCUCUUAUGCUCGCCUCCAAGAUUUCUCCAAGGCUGCGCCUCUUCUGUGGAACACCCUUCCCUUCUCCGUAAGACUUUCACCCAGUUUCCGCUCAUUCAAAAAAUCAUUGAAAACUCACUUCUUCAAGAAAGCAUAUCAGUUAAACUGUUAGCAGGUUUUUAUGCCCCAUACCCCAUGACUCCUCUCCUGCAACUGUCAAAAAUUACCUACUAAGCCCUCAAUGAAUACUUUUCUAACAACCUACUUCGUACCCCUACUUUUACCCUUUGUGUCACUAUACCCCACUCCCUCUAGAAUGUAAGCUCAUUGAGCAGGGCCCUCCACCUCUCUGUUCCUGUACGUCCAAUUGUCUGGUUAAAAUUACAUGUCUGUUAGUCCACCCAAUGUACAGCGCUACGGAAUAUGAUGGCGCUAUAUAAAUAAUAAAAUAAUAAUAAUACUCCCCAUAAGAAAAAAAGAAAUAAAGAUAAAAACUUACCUGUGAUCAAGUGGUGAGUUCUCCUUGCAGCUUAAUUCUUAAUUCUUCUUUGGUGGCAUCACUCCUUGUUACUGCACGGGGAAAGACAUCCAAUCCGAAGAAAAAAAUGAAAGGAGAACUUGGG